This 437-nucleotide ribosomal RNA is filed under the name Wolbachia pipientis. Its description in RNAcentral is "bacterial SSU rRNA". It matches the Rfam family "Bacterial small subunit ribosomal RNA", at positions 992 to 1428 of the family's 1533-position model. The record is from RNAcentral. Lineage: Bacteria; Pseudomonadati; Pseudomonadota; Alphaproteobacteria; Rickettsiales; Anaplasmataceae.
CAUACCUAUUCGAAGGGAUAGGGUCGGUUUGGCCGGAUUUCACACAGGUGUUGCAUGGCUGUCGUCAGCUCGUGUCGUGAGAUGUUGGGUUAAGUCCCGCAACGAGCGCAACCCUCAUCCUUAGUUACCAUCAGGUUAUGCUGGGGACUUUAAGGAAACUGCCAGUGAUAAACUGGAGGAAGGUGGGGAUGAUGUCAAGGCAUCAUGGCCCUUAUGGAGUGGGCUACACACGUGCUACAAUGGUGAUUACAAUGGGCUGCAAGGUCGCAAGGCUGAGCUAAUCCUAAAAAAUCAUCUCAGUUCGGAUUGUUCUCUGCAACUCGAGAGCAUGAAGUUGGAAUCGCUAGUAAUCGUUGAUCAGCAUGCCACGGUGAAUACGUUCUCGGGUCUUGUACACACUGCCCGUCACGCCAUGGGAAUUGGUUUCACUCGAAGCU